GAUGAACGCUGGCGGCGUGCCUAAUACAUGCAAGUCGAGCGAACAGACGAGGCGCUUGCUCCUCUGACGUUAGCGGCGGACGGGUGAGUAACACGUGGAUAACCUACCUAUACGACUGGGAUAACUUCGGGAAACCGGAGCUACUACCGGAUAAUAUAUUUAACCGCAUGGUUCAAUAGUGAAAGACGGUUUUGCUGUCACUUAUAGAUGGCUCCGCGCCGCAUUAGCUAGUUGGUAAGGUAACGGCUUACCAAGGCGACGAUGCGUAGCCGACCUGCGAGGGUGUACGGCCACACUGGGACUGAGACGCGGUCCAGACUCCUACGGGAGGCAGCAGUAGGGAAUCUACCGCAAUGGGCGAAAGCCUGACGGAGCAACGCCGCGUGAGUGAUGAAGGGCUUCGGAUCGUAAAACUCUGUUAUUAGGGAAGAACAAAUGUGUAAGUAACGAUGCACGUCUUGACGGUACCUAAUCAGAAAGCCACGGCUAACUACGUG
RNAcentral lists this ribosomal RNA (497 nucleotides) under uncultured bacterium. Its description in RNAcentral is "partial 16S ribosomal RNA". It matches the Rfam family "Bacterial small subunit ribosomal RNA", at positions 28 to 507 of the family's 1533-position model. The record is from RNAcentral.